CAACAGUAAAAAAACAAUCCAGUUAGAACAUGGGCAAAAGACAUGAGACAUUUCACCAAAGAGGAUACACAGAUGGCAAAAAAGCAUAUCAUUAGCCAUGAGGGAAGGGAAAAUUGAAACCACAAUGAGGUUCCAUUACACAUUAGAAUGGGAGAAAAGUGACAAUACCUAAUGCUUGUGAGGAUGCAGAGAAACUGGAUCACUCAUUCAGCGCUGGUGGGAAUGUAAAAUGGUCUAGCCAUUCUAGAAAACAGUUUGAAAGUUUCUUAAAAACCUAAACACACAACUAUCAUAGGACCCAAUAGGACCCAUAGGACCCAGAUUUAUCCCAGAUAAAUGUUUCAGGUUUUUGCGGAGUUUUUUAUUCUUGGUCAUAUUUUUUUUCCAUUAUAUUUUCUAUUGAGGUUAUGAUAGUUUACAACCUUGUGAAAUUUCAGUUGUACAUUAUUAUUUGUCAGUCAUCUUACAGGUGCACCCCUUUACCCUUUGUGCCCACUCCCCUCCCCCCAGUAACCACUAUUCUGUUCUCUUUGUCCACGUGUUGUUUAUCUUCCACAUAUGAGUGGAGUCAUACAGAGACUGUCUUUUCGCUAUCUGGCUUAUUUGGCUUAAAAUAAACCCUCAAGGUCCAUCCAUGUUCUUGUGAAUGGGACGAUUUUACCCUUUUUUAUGGCCGAGUAGUAUUCCAUUGUGUAUAUAUACCACAUCUUCUUUAUCCAAUCAUCAGUCGAUAGGCCCUUGGGAUGCUUCCACGUCUUGGCUAUUGUGAAUAGUGCUGCAAUGAACAUAGGGGUGCAGAAGUCUCUUUGAAUUGCUGAUUUCAAGUUCUUUUAUUCCAGAUGAAUGAAGACUUACGUCCACACAAAGACCUGGACGUGAAUGUUAACAGCAGCUGUAUUUGUAAUAGCUGGAGACUGGAAACGACUCAGAGUCCUUCAAUGGGUGAAUGGGUCAGUGAACCCGGGCCAUCCACUCCAGGGAAUCCUACUCAGCAGUAAGAAGAAAGGAACUGCUGGCACACACCACCUGGAUGAAGCUCCCAAGAAUUCGCUGAGUGAAAAACGCCGUUGUCCGAAGGCUACACACUGUGGGAUUCCAUCACCGUGACAUUCAUAAAAUGACAAAAUUAUAGAAAUGGAGGGAGAUUGCAAUAUUAUCAUAUAGUUUUGCAAGAUGUUGCCAUCGGGGGAAACCAGGUGAACAUGAGAUCUCUCUGUUUUAUUUCUUACAACUCCAUCUCAGAAUAACAAGUUUAUGGCUGGCUUAGUCCUACACCAUCCUGGGAGGCAGGUGAGACCAGAAGUGGGACUGGUGUCCACACACAUAGCCCCAGGCCCACAGUGUGUCCACGGCCCCUUUCUGGCAGGGCCUCAUUGCCCAGGGCUCUGACAUCCUUCAGGCAUCCUCUGUCUGUCCCACAUCCGCAGCGGCUAUGUGCCUCUCUUUCCUCUCAGUCCCAAAAAGCAUCAGUUAUUGAACACAUUGUCUAUGCCAGAUGGCCAUGUGGCUGCAGAUGAGCAGCCACCAGUGUCUUGCUUGCUGCCCAGGAGCCUCUCCAGUGACUGGAUGGAGAAGACCCAGUCUGGGGGUCAGGUAGAUGGUCUGUGCCCAACACAACCCCACCCCCCAACUGCACCCUGCCAGGCUUGGCAGGAGGCCUGGCACUGGGGCUGGCAUCAACUGGGCCCAGAAGGAGGUCAUGGAGGCCUCGCUUACGCUUGUUUCCCAUAAUUCUGGCUGCUUCCAGUCCCUUUCCUCUCCAGACACUGACGCAGAGCCUACCAACACGCUGAGGCCCCCUUUCUCAGCUUCCUGCUCGGCCACCGUAUCUUCUCAUUUCCUGUUUACCCAUCUCCCCUUUGGAAUUGCCUUGAGUUCCACGGGUGUGACAUCAACAGGCCUGGAAUGCCAUCCCCAGUCGCCACGCGAUCACCAAGACCACCACUGUCGUGCUUCUCCAUCCUUGCCCCCCCACCCCUUGUCACAGCUGUCUCCUCCCUGGGGUUCCAGGAGGCCCGGGCUGCUUCCUUCCCUUGAAAAUCCAUGUUGUCACAAUUGGGACUGUCGCUCUUUUUGAUGCUCAAAAUAACCUCGAAGACCAGUUGCAGCCAAACAGUCCCCCUGGGCACAGAUGGGGAGACUGAGCCAGGCCUGCUCCUGACCUCCUGACCUCGGGACAGCUGGGCCUGGGGACAGUGGCCCGGGACAGGGCACUGGAGGGUGCAAAGGCGUUCUGGUUGUACUCCUGGUUACACUGGUGUCUCUCAUCGGAAUCGUGGACCCAGGCCUGGGGAGGAGGUCUGGCAGAGCCCUCAAGGCCACUGCGGCAGCAAGGCCCAAAGGCUUCUCUGCUUUUCUGGGCCCCAACUUGGCCAUCGUCUGCCUGGGGUCCCUCCGCCCUUCUCUAGGCGGUCCCUUGGGCCUCUGUGCCCAGCCCCUUUCUCCUGGCCUGUGGUCAGCAUCUCAUGGGGACCUGUGGCAUGUUGACCCCCCAGUGUGAACCCUGGGAGAGGAGGGUGGCGACCACCACUUUCUCCUGCAUGUGCUGCUGUGUGUUGCAGCCGGACAGGGCUGGUGGCCGCCAUGCAGGCCAGAAGCACCAGUCCUACCUACUCUGUGCCCUCUGCCUGCAGCUGGCAACUGCCUGGGAAGUCCUGGAGGGAGGACAGGGCUAGCACACCGGCAGUACAUCUUGCCCCGGGGGCCAUGCACGGCUGCUCACGAGGCUAGAGCGUGGGGCAGCACACGCCCCAGAAGACACCAGCACCUGGGGGUGGUUGUGAAGAGUCGUGGCUGCAAAAAUGAGUCUGGUAAGAGUUUGUGAGAGGGAAAUGAGACCCAGUGAUUCCUUUUUCUUGCGAGGUCUCACUUGCGUGUCCCCGGUUCCAGCUCCCAAAUGUACUCUGGUGAUGCUUCUUUGGUCUGACCCGGCUCAGCCACCCCUGGUGGGAUGCUGGCCAGAACUGCUCAGGCUUGGUAGCUGGGCCCAUGCCUCCCACAGGCUGCUUGGAGCCACUGGUGAUGUUGAAGAGGCCCUCCUUCCCUGCAAGAGCAGCCUGGGCUCGGGAACUCGGUCUCCUGCCACUCCCCCGCCUCGAGAGGACCCUGAUAGUGGUCCUGCCCAUUGGCCUUGGAGCAGCCCCGUGGGCUCCACUUUACAGACAGCCUUUGGAACAGGGAGGGGACAGGCGCCGAUUUCAGCGCAGGACAGGAGGGCACCCCGCUGGAGAGCGACUGCCUUGCCUCGUGCAUUCGUUGUUGGGGCUGGCCUGGGCUGGCCCAGCACCUGAGACGUCUCGCCUCAUCAGUUUGCAGGCAUCAUGGCGUAUGGUGGUGGGUCUGUCUACCACCAACUGGGAGCCCCUCCCCUCCUGAGGGCUUGGUGCGGUUCUGGCCUGUGGUGAGUGUGCAGGGAACGCCUGAUGGGGACUGAGGCCAAACGGGAGCAGAGAGGAGCAGGGCAGAGCCGGGCCCUCACCCUGGAGGCGGGAGCAGGAGGCCUCGCCCAGGCAUUGGGGAUGGCAGCCCCUCACCUCCUAAGCAUCCACCGUGAUCCUGGCCCCAGACCUCUGCCCUGUGCCGGGCAGGCAGAGCUCUGCAGAUGGCUCUUCUCUGCAGGCAGAGGAACCCCCGACGACCUGCAGCCAGAAAGAGGGGUGGGAAGGAGAUGAUGAAGGGGAGUGAACUGAGACCCUGAGUCCUUGCCCUCACCCAAGUAUGACCAGUCGCCAGAGACCCAGGAAACCAGAUGACGGAUGUGUGCUCUGAGGGCUCUGGUCGCCGCCUUCUCACCUGGGCAUGACAGCCAGUGCACCUGUGCCACCAACCCACUCUGCCCUCCCCGGCUGGUGCCCGGGCCCCAAGGCCAGCAUGCACCAGGCAGGGUGCCACCAGCAGGGCAGGUACCAGGGCCACGGAGGGCCUUGGCCUGCGCAGCUGGGCAGUGGGCACCAGAGCCCUCGCUGCGUCCUGUUGAUUCUGGGAGGGUUUUCCGAUCUCUCUGGCCUGAUGCUCGCAUGGCCAGCCGGGGAGCUGGGAUGCAGUGGAGAGGUGGAGCCAGCCUUUGCAACCCCAAGCCCCGGCCCUCGCUGGCAGAGAGGUGGCCGUGGGGGAGGGGCAGGAGCUUCCCUCCGCUGUCUGGCGGGCCGCCUCCAGAUCUAGGUCAUCGUGCUUCAGCCUCACUCUCUGCCUUCCGCAAGCUGUGUUCCGUGGGAUUUUUUAAAUACCUGAAUGCCUCUGGGAGAAACUCAGUGUUGGUGCCAUUUCGUAUCUGCACCUUCGGCUUUUCGUGACAUUACAGAGCUACAGCGAGGACAGAGAGUCUCAGAGAUGCCAGGACACCUUGAGGAGGUCGCCUCCAGCCCCCUGAGCUGCCCUGUUUGAUGGACAGGAGCCGUGCAAGGGUUAGCAGCAUCCCGGCUGAAGAAAGCGAUGCUGUUCCACCUGGGAGAUCUGGGGGCGCAUCCUACGAAUCUGCUGGCCGGCACCCUCGUGGCCCAAUUUCCUGACUUCAGAAAUGUCCCAGGCAGAUACUUUGCCUAUAGAGCAACGGGUGCUGCUACCCCUCCGGUCUCUCAGCUAGAGGGGGACAGCCCCAGUGUGUCUGUGGUGGGAUUCGGGCUGUCCCCUGGACUCGCAGAAGUGGGAGGCCAAAGCCCCAGGGCCGUGGGACCCGUCCUGCUUUACUGCAAACACAGCAAUGUGUUUGACCAGGAGGUGCAGCCCCAGGCUCCAACAAGGUGUCCCGUAAUGGAUGAAAAAUUCUGAAUCGCAGACGCAUCUGGUCCUGAGGCUUUCUUUGGAUGAGAGCUGGAGCAGCGGAGUGUCCCCCACGCAUCCCAGUUCUGGAGAAGGAGAACAGGCUUUGGCCACCGACGGACCUUGGCAGAGCAAUGGUGCUGCUUACGUGACUUUUCCACUUAGUGAGCAAACAACUCUGUGCUGGGUGCUGUUGAUUCAGAGAUGGAGUCCCAGGAACCCCAAAUCCUCCUCCUCCCUCGCCCCUCACCGCCCUGGAACCCAGGGGUCAGCCAAGAGACCAAGGGCACAAGAGGGGCUGGGGAGGGAGAAGAGGCCAUGGAGGGUGCAGCAGGCCAUCUCCCUCCAAGGAGACCCUUGCCUGGGGAGCUAGUGCCCACAGGCCUAACUGUCCCUUUCUGAGGGACAGAAGGCGCCAGACGUGCCACUUGGGGGCACCCUGGAGAGGUCCAGGCAGACAGUGACAGAGAGAACUGGAGGCACUCAUGCUUGUGAACUCAUUGAAGUUCUGGGGCCUCAGCUUCCCCAUCUGUAAAUGGGGUGCAGGCCCUGGCUCUGCCUCCGCAGUGUCCCUGGCUGCCCUCCAGCACAGGAGGCCGAGACCCCCCUGCACCCCUUCUCAGGGUGGUCGCAGGUCUGCCUGUGGGUCUGCAGAGCAGAGCGUGCAGAGUUGGGGUUGGGGUGGGGCAGGCUUCAGGUUGGGCCAGUCCUGUCCCAGAUGUCAGCUCAGUUACCCUUCACAAAUAUCCCAGGAAAAGAGAGGGGGAACAUUGGCCCAGGACAAUUGCUUGGCCUCUGCAGUUUGCCCAGAUGUGUCCACUGCCAGAGCACACGGGCACAGCACCCAGCAGGCUGCAGGAGGGUAGCUGGGGUGGUGGCCCUGUGCCAGGUAUCAAGCCUUCUGUGACCAGCACCUUUCCAGCUGUAGCCGGGAACAGAACUCCCCAGGCCAGGGCCUCACACGUCCCUCGUGACGAGGAGAGAAGGCGGCAUCCACUGACCUCAGCGGGCAGAGCGCGCAGGGGCUAGCAUGAGGCAGCGAGACCCCCGGGGGCAGGCUUUGCAGAAGGCCCACAUCGAGGAACAGUCAGAGCCCAGGCACGGACAGGGGUCCCGCGAGAGCGCAGGGAGCCAGGGUCCGGGGCGGGCAGCGGCAGGUCCGCGCGGAGGGCGAGGGCAGCGCGCAUCUCGCCUGGUUCCCGGGCGCUGCCGAGAGACUGGAGGCGAGGGCGUCGCCGGGAGGCGGCGGCGCUGGGGCCUUUGGGGGGCGCCUGGUCCCCGCCCGCGCCGGCCGCGCCGGGUCGCGCGUGGGCGCGGCG
RNAcentral lists this long non-coding RNA (6077 nucleotides) under Equus asinus (donkey). RNAcentral's name for it is "lncRNA (ENSEASG00005036746.1)". The record is from RNAcentral. Lineage: Eukaryota; Metazoa; Chordata; Mammalia; Perissodactyla; Equidae.